Molecule: ribosomal RNA, 1869 nt
Filed under: Franconibacter helveticus
Lineage: Bacteria; Pseudomonadati; Pseudomonadota; Gammaproteobacteria; Enterobacterales; Enterobacteriaceae
Description: bacterial LSU rRNA
Rfam family: Bacterial large subunit ribosomal RNA
Source: RNAcentral
UUGUGUGUUAGUGGAAGCGUCUGGAAAGUCGCAGGGUACAGGGUGACACUCCCGUACACAAAAACACACAGGCUGUGAGCUCGAUGAGUAGGGCGGGACACGUGAUAUCCUGUCUGAAGAUGGGGGGACCAUCCUCCAAGGCUAAAUACUCCUGACUGACCGAUAGUGAACCAGUACCGUGAGGGAAAGGCGAAAAGAACCCCGGCGAGGGGAGUGAAACAGAACCUGAAACCGUGUACGUACAAGCAGUGGGAGCCUCUUUAUGGGGUGACUGCGUACCUUUUGUAUAAUGGGUCAGCGACUUAUAUUCUGUAGCAAGGUUAACCGUAUAGGGGAGCCGCAGGGAAACCGAGUCUUAACCGGGCGUUAAGUUGCAGGGUAUAGACCCGAAACCCGGUGAUCUAGCCAUGGGCAGGUUGAAGGUUGGGUAACACUAACUGGAGGACCGAACCGACUAAUGUUGAAAAAUUAGCGGAUGACCUGUGGCUGGGGGUGAAAGGCCAAUCAAACCGGGAGAUAGCUGGUUCUCCCCGAAAGCUAUUUAGGUAGCGCCUCGUGAACUCAUCUCCGGGGGUAGAGCACUGUUUCGGCUAGGGGGCCAUCCCGGCUUACCAACCCGAUGCAAACUGCGAAUACCGGAGAAUGUUAUCACGGGAGACACACGGCGGGUGCUAACGUCCGUCGUGAAGAGGGAAACAACCCAGACCGCCAGCUAAGGUCCCAAAGUCAUGGUUAAGUGGGAAACGAUGUGGGAAGGCCCAGACAGCCAGGAUGUUGGCUUAGAAGCAGCCAUCAUUUAAAGAAAGCGUAAUAGCUCACUGGUCGAGUCGGCCUGCGCGGAAGAUGUAACGGGGCUAAACCAUGCACCGAAGCUGCGGCAGCGACACUUAUGUGUUGUUGGGUAGGGGAGCGUUCUGUAAGCCGUCGAAGGUGUGCUGUGAGGCAUGCUGGAGGUAUCAGAAGUGCGAAUGCUGACAUAAGUAACGAUAAAGCGGGUGAAAAGCCCGCUCGCCGGAAGACCAAGGGUUCCUGUCCAACGUUAAUCGGGGCAGGGUGAGUCGACCCCUAAGGCGAGGCCGAAAGGCGUAGUCGAUGGGAAACAGGUUAAUAUUCCUGUACUUGGUGUUACUGCGAAGGGGGGACGGAGAAGGCUAUGUUGGCCGGGCGACGGUUGUCCCGGUUUAAGCGUGUAGGUGUGUGCUCCAGGCAAAUCCGGAGCGCUUUAACACUGAGGCGUGACGACGAGGCACUACGGUGCUGAAGCAACAAAUGCCCUGCUUCCAGGAAAAGCCUCUAAGCAUCAGGUAACACGAAAUCGUACCCCAAACCGACACAGGUGGUCAGGUAGAGAAUACCAAGGCGCUUGAGAGAACUCGGGUGAAGGAACUAGGCAAAAUGGUGCCGUAACUUCGGGAGAAGGCACGCUGGUGCGUAGGUGAAGCGACUUGCUCGCGGAGCUGAAACCAGUCGAAGAUACCAGCUGGCUGCAACUGUUUAUUAAAAACACAGCACUGUGCAAACACGAAAGUGGACGUAUACGGUGUGACGCCUGCCCGGUGCCGGAAGGUUAAUUGAUGGGGUUAUCGCAAGAGAAGCUCCUGAUCGAAGCCCCGGUAAACGGCGGCCGUAACUAUAACGGUCCUAAGGUAGCGAAAUUCCUUGUCGGGUAAGUUCCGACCUGCACGAAUGGCGUAAUGAUGGCCAGGCUGUCUCCACCCGAGACUCAGUGAAAUUGAACUCGCUGUGAAGAUGCAGUGUACCCGCGGCAAGACGGAAAGACCCCGUGAACCUUUACUACAGCUUGACACUGAACAUUGAGCCUUGAUGUGUAGGAUAGGUGGGAGGCUUUGAAGCGUGGACGCCAGUCUG